AUGGGUGGCGGCGAUGACACCGCGGCCGCACGUUCAGAUCUGGGUGACUUCCUCAAACAGUUGGAUCUAAAUGAUGAUGACUUUGCUGAUGUGGAUAUCGAUGAUGAUGAUCCAGCGAUUCAAGAAAGCGUCCGCUGGCUUGCCAUAGCCAGGGUCCAUACAAGCAGGAGCUUCAACCUGUCUUCCUUCUACAAGGAUAUGAGGGCUGCAUGGAACCCUGCACAGGACGUGAGAUUUCGACCGGUUGUCCCUAAUCAUUUUGUUGUCCAAGCAUCUUGCUUGGGGGAUUGGGAGCGCAUAAUGAAUCAAGGACCUUGGCUGUUCCGCAAUAUGGCUGUGCUCUUGUGCCUGUAUGACGGCUUUAGUAAGGCGGAGGAGGUGGAAUUCUUUCAUGUUCCAAUUUGGCUACAAAUCCAUAUAGUGGAGAAGCUGUUGAAAGAUGCAGGAGAGAUUUUGGACAUGCGUUUCAACGGUAAUACCCGAGGUGAUUAUGUUAGGGUUAGGGUGAAACAUGAUAUCUGA
Molecule: ribosomal RNA, 522 nt
Filed under: Triticum aestivum (bread wheat)
Lineage: Eukaryota; Viridiplantae; Streptophyta; Magnoliopsida; Poales; Poaceae
Description: partial small subunit ribosomal RNA
Source: RNAcentral